Stegostoma tigrinum is the source of this 962-nucleotide long non-coding RNA. RefSeq lists it as uncharacterized. Lineage: Eukaryota; Metazoa; Chordata; Chondrichthyes; Orectolobiformes; Stegostomatidae. The transcript is spliced from 5 exons. The record is from RefSeq and is a predicted model, not a curated record.
GAUCCGGGGACCCGCCCCCAGAAUUGUGGCCUCGUCCUCUGAUUGGUUGGAGAACAAGCACAUCCGGGGCCUUCUUCCUGUUCCGCCUCUUGCUUGUUAUUGGUCGUUAGAUGUUUUGGUCAGCUAUGGAGCAUGCGUAUUGGGAGGGAUAUCCGGAAUGAAAUGGUCCUCCAUGAGAGCCACAAGCGGGCAUUCAACAACUUGAAAACUGGAUUGAAAAUGAGAGACAGAGCAGCCACUCCAGAAGCUUCCAAAAUCACGCUGCACCUUCUUGAACUGCUGCGAUCCAUGUGGUGACGUAGCUCCCAUGUUGCAAUUUGGACGACCAGAGCAGCACACAGUCCGACCGAAGAGGACUAGCCAACAUAACUUCCCAAGUCCUGUACUCAGACCUGAGCAAUGAAGACAAGUGUGCUAAACGCCUUCUUAACCACCCUGUCUACCUGUGAUGCAAAUUUCAAAGAAUGAUGUACCUGAAACCCGAGGUUUUUUUCUGUUCUGCAACACUACCGAGAGCCCAACCAUUAAUUGUGACAUGGACUUUGCUGGCUUGGCCAGAAUUUAUUGCCCAUCUGUGAUUGCACAGAGGGCUAUCAAGUGUCAGCUGCAUUGCUGUACGGCUGGAGGCACUCACAGACCAAACCAGAGCCAGGAGCGGGGACAAAAGAUGGCUGUAAAAACGCAGUAAUUAGGACUGCAGAAGGGCCACCCAGUGAUCAACGGAAAAGUGGCAGAAACAGAUUACAAAAUAGAGUGAAGAUGCGGUUAUGGCGCCUAGAAAUUUGAAGAAUAUAAACAAGUUUCUUUUAAUGACAUGGUAAAUUUGUGAAGAGAUUGAAUUCCACAGAUGAGAGUGAAAUUCAAAUUGAUGCUGUCUCACUAAGUAAAGAAAAUUAGUGAUGCAGAGUGUUUAGAGAAGAGGCAGUAAAGAUUUAUCCAUGAGUUAAAUACUGAUUCAAAAC